UUCAUGCUUCAGAUACAAUGGGCGUGGAUCCAAUUGUAUACGUUUAAAUUUACAGUGAGAUACGUGUAAUGGACAAGAGGAAUAAAACUAUUUAAUUGUCUUCAUAAUUUUGUUGUUGAAAAAUAGCACAGAAUAAAUAAAUAAAUAUUUAUAAUAUAAAUAUUGAAUAAAAGUAAUUUUAAAACAAUUGAAAAAAAUAAAAUUAUAUAUUCGUAUAAUAAAUUUAUGUCAACCAAUUAAGAUAAUUAAAUAUACGUAAAGAACAAAGCCGAAGAGGCACAAUUACAGUCGUCUGAUCUGAGCAAUUUAUGGAUCAUUUAAGCUGAAAUUUUAGAGGUGGCAAUUUUCUAAAAUAUACAAGCUCAACACUUCGGAUACUAGUAUUCGCUUUAUAAUAAUUAUAAUAUUACAAACAACCUUGGCUUAAUUCCAGGAUGGAAGAUACUGCAUAUUGUGUUUUUUUUUUGCCUCAAUAUAUUGGUUUUUACUGGUACAAUGUAACCUAGGGAAAACCACACACGUAUACCAAAUUCUGAAACCAAACGCGUAAGUAUAGGAUAAAAAAAAUUAUAGCCCGAAGUAUUUGGUGGGUGAGUAUUUAAUCAUUAAACACUGAGAGAACAGGUUUGCAUCCUAGAUUUAUUUUGAAAUUAAAUAUCUCUAUAACACCCAGUCAAUGGAUUUGAGUGCAGUGGGUUAAAAAUUUACAACUAUUAUUGUGUUAUAACUAUUAAUAGUCACGAUCUCUAAUGUAUUUAUACCUGAAUAUUAAAUGUAUAUAGAAUAUAGUCAUUUCACAGAACAACCGAGCCUGGGUUACUAUUAUACAGUAUAUAAACCAAUUUUAGGUCACCCGAGUCAGAUGACCGACUGCUAUCUGUUUUUGUCCGUCGUUUUUCAUCGUAUUUUUUUCGACGACCAUCGGUUGUAAACUUUUAAACAACCUCUUGAUCCACUGAACUAUUUUCAACAAAUUUUGGCAUAUGACAUCUAUGAAUGAAGGGGAGCAAAAAUAUUUUGAAAUUCAUAACCCACCCCCCCACCACCACCACUGGGGCGUGUGAGAUGGGGCUACAACCAUAAAAAUUAACGGAAUAUUUUUUUU
Molecule: long non-coding RNA, 1105 nt
Organism: Saccostrea cuccullata (small rock oyster)
Lineage: Eukaryota; Metazoa; Mollusca; Bivalvia; Ostreida; Ostreidae
Exons: 2
Source: RefSeq, a predicted model, not a curated record